GAUAACAUUGUUCCAGACGUACAACUGGAAUAAUCAAGAAGAAGAUUACUGAAGAAGAAGACGACAAAAGACGACAAAAGCUAUGGCAGACAAGAUAAAGUAAAAGAAUUAUUAGAUUCUUUUCUUUUCUUUUCUUUUCUUUUAAUGUUAUUUUAUUUUUUGUAAAAGAGUCGUAAAGUAAAUAGUUCUUUACUUUACAAAAGUAAGAGUCAGUCUCAUAAACAGUAAAGGUCGUUCAUGAAUAGUAAGAGUCAGUCUCAUGAACAGUAAAGGUCGUUCAUAAAUAGUAAGAGUCAAUCUCAUGAACAGUAAAGGUCGUUCAUGAACAGUAAGAGUCACUUUUGUAAUCUUUAAAUAAGCCUUUCAAUUAUCAAUAAAAAACAGGCUGCAACUUGGCAUCCAAAUCUCUCUCUUCUCUCCUCUCUUCUCUCUAAUAUAUUCAAAGAUAAAAUACAGGAAUGCUAUGGAUAAACAAGAAGAUAUGAAAGCUAUGGAUCAACAAGAAGAUAUCAAGAACUUACAAAAACAGGUAUGUCACACUAUAAUCAUGAGUAGCUAAAUUGAUAUAUUCCUGAUAAUCUCU
This 583-nucleotide long non-coding RNA is filed under the name Nicotiana tabacum (common tobacco). RNAcentral's name for it is "long non-coding RNA (NTAB_LNC019337)". Lineage: Eukaryota; Viridiplantae; Streptophyta; Magnoliopsida; Solanales; Solanaceae. The record is from RNAcentral.